RNAcentral lists this long non-coding RNA (226 nucleotides) under Vitis vinifera (wine grape). RNAcentral describes it as "long non-coding RNA (VVIN_LNC001112)". Lineage: Eukaryota; Viridiplantae; Streptophyta; Magnoliopsida; Vitales; Vitaceae. The record is from RNAcentral.
AUGGAUGUGUGAUAUUUGCCCCAAAUCAGCAAAUAACACUCAAAAUCAACAAGCACGUAGGAAGAAAACGAUGAAAUGUGCAAUGGCCAUACCUGGGUUUCUCAAAGCUUUUGCAGAUUCUCACACUUUUCUUUACUCCAAAAUCAGUAAGACUCUAGCUUCCUUCCUCUUCUUUGUUCUCUGUUCUGCUUCUCUUCUCUUCCUCUCACUUUUUUUUUCCUUUUUU